AUGAGGUUCAUGAGUGUGUGUGGAUUUGUUGGCAGGGCAAGGCUCAACAUUAAUCUGCCGAGGUUUUGGAAGGCUGACACAGAAACACGGCGAAGGAUAGUCCAGGAGAUCAUGGAUCACUUCAAUGUUCUAGAGCAGUGGAGAAUGCAGGUUGAACACGCUGCACUGAAGAAGGCUAUGGAUGCUUGGAGAAACUGGAAGCACGUGCUGUACAAAAAGUACUUGAGUGAAGGCAAGGACCUAAUCCCCGCAUACCCCCAAAUUACAAAGGCAGAUUGGGCAGAAUUCAAAAGGGUCAGGGCAACUCCAGAGUUUGCUGAGAACAGUUUCAAGCAAUCAGAACUUCAGAAGAAGACCAUACACCCCCACCGUAUGGGUGUGGCAGGAUACUACGACAUGAAACUGAUAUGGGAACAGGAGGACAAAGAAGCAGUAGCGGCGGGUGGGAAUCCGACCUUUAGUGAAAUCACGGGCAAACGCGCCAGAGACUACUUGCGGGAACAUGCAAAGAGGCGUGAUGACGGAACUUAUUACUUUGAAAACGCACGUGAUGCCAAACUGUAUGAAGUGAUGGUAGAGGCUUCCAAGAUCCCUGAAAGGUUCUACAGGAACUCAGGGCCAUGUGACAUUCUGUCCAUUGCUUUGGACACAAAAGAGCCCCCUAGCUGUGCAAGGGGUAUAGGUGUUAAUGUCCCGCACAAGAGGGCUUUCACACUCAGCAAAGAAGAGAGGCUCAGCAUGAAAAAAGCGAGGAGUGAAAUGAAGCAGAAUGCAUUGUAUGAAAAGUUGAAGAAGGAGAUUUAUCCGGCUGUUCGAAAGGAUGUUGAGGAGUCAAUGUUGAUGCAGAAGACUCUAGCACUAACAGAUAGCCAGCAGAUGGGAGGGGAGGCGGGCAUGGAGGAUGCUGCUUAUUGUGCGGACUGCAGCUGCUCGUGA
Molecule: ribosomal RNA, 936 nt
Filed under: Triticum aestivum (bread wheat)
Lineage: Eukaryota; Viridiplantae; Streptophyta; Magnoliopsida; Poales; Poaceae
Description: partial small subunit ribosomal RNA
Source: RNAcentral